Molecule: small RNA, 373 nt
Filed under: Pantoea ananatis
Lineage: Bacteria; Pseudomonadati; Pseudomonadota; Gammaproteobacteria; Enterobacterales; Erwiniaceae
Description: Enterobacterial sRNA STnc550
Source: RNAcentral
AAAAUCGAACUCCCGGGCUUAUCUAACCUGUUGAUAAGCAUGUUGUUAAACGUUUGCGUCAGCGGACGGUUAUUUCUGCAAAAAAAAACGUUUUUCUGACCGGUUAUGGGGCAUCGGGGCAGGAAAUAACGGUUGAAAAGGGUGCUGACGCAACCGAUGUUGCGCGCUGUUGCGCAACAAAGAGGGGAUUCUAACAAGGCUGCACGGAUAAAACGAGAUUUUUACCCACGCGUGUGGGAAAAUGCUUAACCCCUACUAAAAUUGUGCCUAAGGAGUUGUGAUGAGUACCGAUCUGAAACUGUCAUUGAUGACCACGGCGGCUGCACUGUUGAUGAUUAUUGCGUUCAGCUUUACCGCCAUUCUGAACUAAUAA